AGAUUGAACGCUGGCGGCAUGCCUUACACAUGCAAGUCGAGCGGUAGAGUAGCAAUACUCGAGAGUGGCGAACGGGUGAGUAAUAUAUCGGAACGUGCCCAGUCGUGGGGGAUAACGUAGAGAAAUUUACGCUAAUACCGCAUACGAUCUAAGGAUGAAAGCGGGGGAUCGCAAGACCUCGCGCGAUUGGAGCGGCUGAUAUCAGAUUAGGUUGUUGGUGAGGUAAAAGCUCACCAAGCCGACGAUCUGUAGCUGGUUUGAGAGAACGACCAGCCACACUGGGACUGAGACACGGCCCAGACUCCUACGGGAGCAGCAGUGGGAAUUUGGACAAUGGGCGAAAGCCUGAUCCAGCAAUGCCGCGUGCAGGAAGAAGGCCUUCGGUUGUAAACUGUCUUUUGUACGGUAACGAAAGCUAUUUCUAAGUAAAGAGGCCAAUGACGUACCGUAAGAAUAGACACCGACUAACUACGUGCCGAGCGAGACCG
This 488-nucleotide ribosomal RNA is filed under the name uncultured soil bacterium. RNAcentral's name for it is "bacterial SSU rRNA". It matches the Rfam family "Bacterial small subunit ribosomal RNA", at positions 26 to 518 of the family's 1533-position model. The record is from RNAcentral.